GAUGAACGCUGGCGGCGUGCCUAAUACAUGCAAGUCGAGCGAACGGACGAGAAGCUUGCUUUUCUGAUGUUAGCGGCGGACGGGUGAGUCACACGUGGAUAACCUACCUAUAAGACUGGGAUAACUUCGGGAAACCGGCGCUAAUACCGGAUAAUAUUUUGAACCGCAUGGUUCAAAAGUGAAAGACGGUCUUGCUGUCACUUAUAGAUGGAUCCGCGCUGCAUUAGCUAGUUGGUAAGGUAACGGCUUACCAAGGCAACGAUGCAUAGCCGACCUGAGAGGGUGAUCGGCCACACGGGAACUGAGACACGGUCCAGACUCCUAAGGGAGGCAGCAGUAGGGAAUCUUCCGCAAUGGGCGAAAGCAUGACGGAGCAACGCCGCGUGAGUGAUGAAGGUCUUCGGAUCGUAAAACUCUGUUAUUAGGGAAGAACAUAUGUGUAAGUAACUGUGCACAGCGUGACGGUACCUAAUCAGAAAGCCACGGCUAACUACGUG
Molecule: ribosomal RNA, 497 nt
Filed under: uncultured bacterium
Lineage: Bacteria
Description: partial 16S ribosomal RNA
Rfam family: Bacterial small subunit ribosomal RNA
Source: RNAcentral